Molecule: long non-coding RNA, 1807 nt
Organism: Megalobrama amblycephala (Wuchang bream)
Lineage: Eukaryota; Metazoa; Chordata; Actinopteri; Cypriniformes; Xenocyprididae
Exons: 5
Source: RefSeq, a predicted model, not a curated record
AAAUUUUAUUUUUAUCAUAUUUUUAAAGGAACGUCUUGAGAUGUUUCUGAUGGAUAUUGGGCUGAUGGACUUCAUUUGUUCUUAUCAACAAAUCCUACUAUAAGAUAUUCAUAGACAAGAAGAGUGUGGAAAAUGGGAAAAAGAUAAGUAUCCAAAAAAUGAAGGUAAGUCACAAAAUUUUGAGGACAGACAGCAACAGUGAAGAUGAUUCAAAUGGAAACCAUAAAUAAUUUUAACCUUCAUCCAAAGGUGAGAGCAUAAAUAACAUGCAGACAAAAAAUAUACACAUGCAGGAAUGUAAUUUCCCAGGUCAGAUCAGAAAAUGUUAUAAAAACAUAUUUUAAAGGAGCAUCUUGAGAUGUUUCUGAUGGAUAUUAGGCUGAUGGACUUCAUAUCCAUUUGAUGUUCCUAUCAACAAAUCAUACUAUAAGAUAUUCAUAGGUAGAUAUUUUACCUUUUUUAACAAGCACUUUGAACCAAACAAAUAACACCUCUUUCCGGUAGAUAAGAAGAUUGUGGAAAAUGGGAAAAAGAUAAGUAUCAAAAAAAAAAAAAAAGCAAGUCAAAAAAUAUUGAGGACAGCAACAGUGAAGACACAGGGAGUGCAGAUGAUUCAAAUGGAAACCAUACAUUAUUUUAACCAUCCAAAUGUGAGAGCAUAAAUAAUAUACACAUGCACACAUGAUGUAAUUUCCCAUGGCAGAUCAUAAAAUGCUUCCUUAAAGGAGCAUCUAGGGUUUUUUAAUAGAAACUGAUGGACUUCAGAGUUGCUUCUGUAUCAACAAAUCCUAGAUGGCAUUCAGAGAAAAUGGAAACGUGGUGAGUGGAAAAGUUAUAAACAUGGACAGACAGCAGUGAGGACACUGAGAGUGCAGAUGAUUGGAAUGGAGAAUCAUUUUAAACUCUGAUCCAAAGCUGAAGAAGCAACAUGUUGUAGAAACAUGUCUUGUUGUCGACAUGUCGAGAAGAUGCUGUUUUCUGCGCUGUGAAUCCACUUUGCAUGCAUUUCCAAAGGAGGAGGAUUUGCGCUGGAAUUUAUAUGCAAUUGGCAGCAAGUCACACAAACUUUUGAACCCAGAACUUUCCUUGAAUGGAAAUCCUAUAAUCCCCAAAACUCCUAUGCAAGUUCUUCUUGCGUCUCUCAUUCACCUAGUCUUUUCUCAGUACAUAAGCUUUUAGUUGUCUCAGAGCCUGCAUUGCAGAAAACCACGUCUACCUUUCUCCACAACACUCAUGCAUCCUAUGAGCAUGAAGUUGAGCUAUUCUUGGCAGUCGUCCAUCAACCGUGAAGGAGAGUUGUGGUGCUUAGGAACAGCAAAGAAAACACAGCUGAAAGAACAAACUCUACACUAAAGGAAACUCCACAUGAAUCAAUGAAAAAAAUAACUAAAAGAACUCUAAAUUAGCAGUUUUGACCCCUUGGAGUAACUUUCCACUGUUAUUAUGUUGGCAGUUUGACCCUUGCCUUGUCAUGUGAGACUAUAUCCCGAUUGACAUGGGUGUCUCCUGUCUACACCACAGUGAUGUUCAAUGGGCAGAUUUGUUCAAACAGUGAGCUGUUGUUUUCUAAUGGCUGAGCGGGACGUCCACUUCAAAAGGGGUUUUGUAACCACAGAGAAAUGGGUCAGCUGUGGAGGUGGUACCGCUGACGAACAGCGGCUGUUUUUGUGCUAACACCCACGCCAGUAUCCCCGAGGACCAGAGUCAAACUGGCCCAACUGAAUCAACAAAGUCGUGUUGCUGCCACACUUCAUGCAGGUGCUCAUGGAUUGAACUCAAGUAAAGAGCCUUAAAGUUGACAUAAAAU